GGACCCGCACAAGCAGUGGAGCAUGUGGUUUAAUUCGAAGAUACGCGCAGAACCUUACCAACACUUGACAUGUUCGUCGCGACUCUAAGAGAUUAGAGUUUUCGGUUCGGCCGGACGAAACACAGGUGCUGCAUGGCUGUCGUCAGCUCGUGUCGUGAGAUGUUGGGUUAAGUCCCGUAACGAGCGCAACCCUUGUCCUUAGUUGCCAGCACAUUAUGGUGGGAACUCUAAGGAGACUGCCGGUGACAAACUGGAGGAAGGAAAGGAUGAUGUCAAGUCAUCAUGGCCCUUAUGGGCUGGGCUACACACGUGCUACAAUGGUGGUUACAAAAAGACGCAAUAGGGCGACCUGGAGCAAAUCUAUAAAAGCCAUCUCAGUUCGGAUUGUUCUCUGCAACUCGAGAGCAUGAAGUUGGAAUCGCUAGUAAUCGU
RNAcentral lists this ribosomal RNA (432 nucleotides) under uncultured bacterium. RNAcentral's name for it is "bacterial SSU rRNA". It matches the Rfam family "Bacterial small subunit ribosomal RNA", at positions 917 to 1345 of the family's 1533-position model. The record is from RNAcentral.